Long non-coding RNA from Cebus imitator (Panamanian white-faced capuchin), 253 nucleotides. RefSeq lists it as uncharacterized. The transcript is spliced from 3 exons. NCBI's taxonomy places the organism in Eukaryota, Metazoa, Chordata, Mammalia, Primates, Cebidae. The record is from RefSeq and is a predicted model, not a curated record.
UUUCUUUUGAUUUUCUAAAUAACAUCUUCUUUUCUCUAGCUUACUUUAUUGUAAGAAUACAGAAUGUAAUACACAUAACAUGUAAAAUAUGUGCUGAUUAACUGUUUAUGUUAUUACUAAGGCUUCCAGUCAAUAGUAGGUUAUUAGUAGUUAAGUUUUCAAAAAGUCAAAAAUUUUACAUAAAUUUACUGCUAUGUAGGGGAUAAGCACCACUAACCCCCGUGUUGUUCAAGGGUCGGCUAGACACACAUGC